GGUUGUAAACUUCUUUUACCAGGGACGAAGAAAGUGACGGUACCUGGAGAAAAAGCUCCGGCUAACUACGUGCCAGCAGCCGCGGUAAUACGUAGGGAGCAAGCGUUGUCCGGAUUUACUGGGUGUAAAGGGCGUGUAGGCGGAGUUACAAGUCAGAUGUGAAAUCUGGGGGCUCAACCCCCAAACUGCAUUUGAAACUGUAGCCCUUGAGUAUCGGAGAGGCAGGCGGAAUUCCUAGUGUAGCGGUGAAAUGCGUAGAUAUUAGGAGGAACACCAGUGGCGAAGGCGGCCUGCUGGACGACAACUGACGCUGAGGCGCGAAAGCGUGGGGAGCAAACAGGAUUAGAUACCCUGGUAGUCCACGCUGUAAACGAUGAAUACUAGGUGUGGGGGGACUGACCCCUUCCGUGCCGCAGUUAACACAAUAAGUAUUCCACCUGGGGAGUACGACCGCAAGGUUGAAACUCAAAGGAAUUGACGGGGGCCCGCACAAGCAGUGGAUUAUGUGGUUUAAUUCGACGCAACGCGAAGAACCUUACCGGGAUUUGACAUCCUACUAACGAAGCAGAGAUGCAUUAGGUGCCCUUCGGGGAAAGUAGAGACAGGUGGUGCAUGGUUGUCGUCAGCUCGUGUCGUGAGAUGUUGGGUUAAGUCCCGCAACGAGCGCAACCCUUAUGGUUAGUUGCUACGCAAGAGCACUCUAGCCAGACUGCCGUUGACAAAACGGAGGAAGGCGGGGACGACGUCAAAUCAUCAUGCCCCUUAUGUCCCGGGCUACACACGUAAUACAAUGGCGGUAAACAGAGCGAAGCAAGACUGCGAAGUGGAGCAAAUCGCUAAAAGCCGUCUCAGUUCGGAUUGCAGGCUGCAACUCGCCUGCAUGAAGUGGAAUUGCUAGUAAU
RNAcentral lists this ribosomal RNA (902 nucleotides) under uncultured bacterium. Its description in RNAcentral is "bacterial SSU rRNA". It matches the Rfam family "Bacterial small subunit ribosomal RNA", at positions 421 to 1342 of the family's 1533-position model. The record is from RNAcentral.